Molecule: ribosomal RNA, 463 nt
Filed under: Vreelandella stevensii
Lineage: Bacteria; Pseudomonadati; Pseudomonadota; Gammaproteobacteria; Oceanospirillales; Halomonadaceae
Description: partial 16S ribosomal RNA
Rfam family: Bacterial small subunit ribosomal RNA
Source: RNAcentral
CCUACGGGGGCUGCAGUGGGGAAUAUUGGACAAUGGGCGAAAGCCUGAUCCAGCCAUGCCGCGUGUGUGAAGAAGGCCUUCGGGUUGUAAAGCACUUUCAGUGGGGAAGAAAGCCUUGGGGCUAAUACCCUCGAGGAAGGACAUCACCCACAGAAGAAGCACCGGCUAACUCCGUGCCAGCAGCCGCGGUAAUACGGAGGGUGCGAGCGUUAAUCGGAAUUACUGGGCGUAAAGCGCGCGUAGGCGGUCUGAUAAGCCGGUUGUGAAAGCCCCGGGCUCAACCUGGGAACGGCAUCCGGAACUGUCAGGCUAGAGUGCAGGAGAGGAAGGUAGAAUUCCCGGUGUAGCGGUGAAAUGCGUAGAGAUCGGGAGGAAUACCAGUGGCGAAGGCGGCCUUCUGGACUGACACUGACGCUGAGGUGCGAAAGCGUGGGUAGCAAACAGGAUUAGAUACCCCAGUAGU